GACGAACGCUGGCGGCGCGCCUAACACAUGCAAGUCGAGGGGCAGCGGGGGCAGCAAUGCCUGCCGGCGACCGGCGCACGGGUGAGUAACGCGUAUGCAACUUGCCUAUCAGAGGGGAAUAGCCCGGCGAAAGUCGGAUUAAUGCUCCAUAAAACAGGGGUCCCGCAUGGGAAUAUUUGUUAAAGAUUCAUCGCUGAUAGAUAGGCAUGCGUUCCAUUAGGCAGUUGGCGGGGUAACGGCCCACCAACCGACGAUGGAUAGGGGUUCUGAGAGGAAGGUCCCCCACAUUGGUACUGAGACACGGGACCAA
Molecule: ribosomal RNA, 310 nt
Filed under: uncultured bacterium
Lineage: Bacteria
Description: bacterial SSU rRNA
Rfam family: Bacterial small subunit ribosomal RNA
Source: RNAcentral